UUGAUUCUCGUAAGAAAUUUUGAGUAAAAACGAAGAAUCAAGCCGAUGUUGAUUGCUAGAAACUCAUCAUGUAAAUCGAAGCGAAGAAAACGAGUUUCUAGGGUUUGGAAUUGGUAAAAUAUUCAAAAGCCUUAAUUUUAGACGACCCACAUGGCUUAUUUAUAUGUUUAGAAGACUUAGAAGUAGACUAGGAUUGCAAAAAGUCGAUUUCAAAAAUCUGUGUCGUCCUCAGAGACCGGUCCUGUCGAGGAGACCGGUCUGUGAGAGACCGGUCUCUCAAGUGAGGAACCGGUCCCUCUCUGCGUAACCAAAAACCCCACGUUCGGGAACCGGUCUCUCAAACUUGAGACCGGUCCCUCGCUGCGUGACAGAACCACCAAGGUUCGGGAACCGGUCUCUCACCACAGGGGACCGGUUGCAUCAAGGAUUACGCAGUGAGGACCUUGGGGGAACCGGUCUCUCCAUCUCAGAGACCGGUCCCAGAACACAUGAAUGUUCAGAAAUUUGUUUUUAAAGCAAUCUAAGUCUUCUGAACUUAUUUAAAUUGUGUGUCUUCACCACAAAUAAUCUUUUCUUCAUACCUUAGAUGUCGAUCUUUUCGAAUGUGCCUUCAUCCUCCAAUUUGAAUCUUUUCUCAAAAACUUCUACGAUCAACUCUUCAAGACUCCAAACAACCUCACGAAAUUCGCCAACCUAUAAAAUCCUUAACAAUCUCCCCCUUUGGCGAUUUCGUGACAAAAUAUAAUACAAAAUUCGUAUACAACCAAUAAAUCAUAAAAAGAAGAUCAUCGCAAUCACCAAACGAUAAUCUCCUGCAUGAUCAAACCAAUAAACGAAAUUUACACUAUUACACCCUUAAUACAAACUCUAUGACUUAGACACGGAGUCUUGAAGUCUUGAGUUAUUCCUGCAAAAACAUUCUCAAAGCAUAAUCAAGAUUCAAGUAUCAAGAAGUAUCAAGUAUCAAGAAGAUCAAACAAUCAACUAAAGUUCACACUUCAUAGUUCAUAGUUAAACUAAACGAAAACACCAAACACCUAAAGCAUUAAAACAAAGUCAUCUUAACUAAGCAAAGCCCUAAGCUAAAUGCAUCAUCAUCAUC
Molecule: long non-coding RNA, 1102 nt
Filed under: Ananas comosus (pineapple)
Lineage: Eukaryota; Viridiplantae; Streptophyta; Magnoliopsida; Poales; Bromeliaceae
Description: long non-coding RNA (ACOM_LNC044838)
Source: RNAcentral